This 559-nucleotide small RNA is filed under the name Pongo abelii (Sumatran orangutan). RNAcentral describes it as "processed transcript". The record is from RNAcentral. Lineage: Eukaryota; Metazoa; Chordata; Mammalia; Primates; Hominidae.
CUGCUAGCACAUAUGUAUGGGUUCAGUACGUAUGGCACACAGAAAGGGGAGUGUGUUUGCCUACAGUGUCUCUCUGGAUCCUCUUUGUUUAUAUUGAAGCAGCCAUUAGAUUUAAAGAUCUCAAAAACUUUCAUGUAGACCUUUGUCGUCCAUUUGCUGCUCACUGCAGCCAAAGGAUUACCUGAUAUGGAUUCUUCGAUCCUUAUACACCACAAUGGAGGUAUCCCAGCCAACAAAAAACUCUCCACAACUUUGCCAGAGAUAGAAUACCGAGAAAAAGGGAAAGAAAAGGACAAGGAUGCCAAAAAACACAACCUUGGAAUAAAUAACAACAAUAUUCUACAACCUGUAGACUCUAAAAUACAAGAGAUUGAGUAUAUGGAAAACCAUAUCAAUAGUAAAAGAUUAAAUAAUGAUCUUGUGGGAAGUACAGAAAAUCUCUUGAAAGAGGACUCAUGCACUGCUUCCUCAAAAAAUUACAAAAAUGCCAGUGGAGUUGUGAACUCCUCACCUCGAAGUCAUAGCGCCACAAAUGGGAGCAUUCCUUCUUCAUCUAGUA